This 84-nucleotide transfer RNA is filed under the name Campylobacteraceae bacterium. Its description in RNAcentral is "tRNA-Leu". It matches the Rfam family "tRNA". Rfam says of the family: Transfer RNA (tRNA) molecules are approximately 80 nucleotides in length. Their secondary structure includes four short double-helical elements and three loops (D, anti-codon, and T loops). The record is from RNAcentral. Lineage: Bacteria; Pseudomonadati; Campylobacterota; Epsilonproteobacteria; Campylobacterales; Campylobacteraceae.
GCCCGUGUGGAGAAAUGGUAAACUCAGCAGAUUCAAAAUCUGCCGCCUUCGGGCUUGGCGGUUCAAGUCCGCCCACGGGUACCA